AGUGCAGUCAAGCUAGAGCACCAGAUGUCAGCUGCAGAUGUCCGAUGGAAGGCAGGUGUAAGCUGGAAGCCAUGCCGACCGGAUGCCAAGUGCGGUCGAUAGUGCAGUCUAUCAAGAGCGGGAUCAUGCAGGUGUCAGGUGUAGGCCAGGAUCAGCUGUAAGUCACGUGUCAGGUGUGGGCGUUUCAAGCUGCCCAUGUUGGAAAGUGCGGUGGAGCUAGAAAGUUAUUCACUUUCAGCAUCAUGUCUGAGAGGAUUCAGGAUUUAGAGAGAAACAGAAGGGAGCAGCGAUUUAGAACAACAUCUCCUGUUACAGCGAACGCGUGAAUUACAACUCCGCAGAAGGAAAAGGGAGCGAGAAUUGUACAGCAGGAACGGACAACGGGACGGAAGACAGAACGGAAUGGAAAACGGAAAAUAUUAUAUACAAUGUCAUGAGCUCAGCACUUUGUAAAAUCAAAAGGCUUAUAUAACAAAGGAAGCAGGAAUUACAGAGAGAUCGGAGGAAUAUACACCAGACUGGAUAAUCCAUCCAUUGGGAAUCGGCUUUCACUGUCUUCCAGAAGACUGAAUCUACAACAAAUAUAUAAACUAUAAGUAUAUAGAUAUUGAGUAAAAGCGAUUAUUUUCUAUUUUGUACGAGACAGGCUACUGACAAACAAGUUGAUGAUGCAAAAAUUUCAGCAGUCUCGUUUAAAGUCAGCAUUUCGCAAAUUCUAUGGUCGUUAUAACGAGCUAGUUUGCCAUUACAACCUAUCAUUGGGCUGUCUGAUGUGUUUCAUACUGAUUGUCAGGCCGUUCUUAGCACACUGAUUUUGACUACGGAUAACUCCGUUAACCUGAUCAAGAUAUAGGGCUCACGGUGGGUGUAACCGGUCGACAGGGGAUGCUUACUCCUCCUGGGCACCUGAUCCCACCUUUGGUGUGUUGGCCCAACUCUCUAUUUUGUAUUGCUUACAGUAGAUCGCCUUGGAAUCAGCCUCCUUUCUAAUGUUACUCUCAUUCAGAUUAGUCCAAAAAAUAAUUUGAGAAGUAUGUUUUUUGUGAAUAAACAUUGUAUUCUUUGUGCACUGAUUUUGACUACGAAUUACUACGUUUACCUCAUGAAGACAUAGGGCCCAUGGUGGAUGUGCCCGUUCGACAGGGAUUGCUUACUCCUCCUAGGUACCUGAUCCCACCUUUGGUAUAUCCAGGGGUUCAUGUUUGUCUAACUCUCUAGUUUGCAUUCCUUAUAGGGUUUUGAGAUUGAUCACUGUUAGUUAUCUUAACCUUUCCUGUGCAAUCUUUCCAAAACCCCACCCAUUCACCCCAUGUCAUAAUGUAUUUUAAAGUUAUGAUACUGGCUGCUGGUCCCCCCCCCCCCCAAGUACCCGUUCUCUGUUUUACAUGUAGUAUACGAGACGCUAUGCUGCUACCUGCUAAUUUUGUGCAGCAUACCAACUUAACUGAUUCAAUGUGUAUUGGUAAGUUGCCAGUGAAUUUGCAUCUGCUUUAAUCUGUUUUGUGCAAUUAAACUAUGGCCGUACAUUUUGUAAAUAUUAACAAAACUGAUUGCGUAAUUGCGCAAACUAUUGGGUUAAUCUAACAUACUAUAACAAGCAACUAUUCGUGGUUAACCCGGGUCGGUCAAUUUUGAACUUGUUGCAUUUUCUUUGUUGAUUGAAGUUGCAUUUGUGUAGAGUAGCUCAGAUAUCUUCCGAUUGGCAUCCAACAAAUUCUUUUCACUCACCAAAUAAAGUUUAAAGUAGUUUCGCCUGUUGUUGUUGUUUCUCUGCCUCAAUAAGCAUUUCAAAGAAAUUUAUUUCAAAUAUAUCAAAGUACUGUUUUAACAUAUAUUUAUACGUGUUGCUCAAUACGUUUCCAGGGCAACUGUGCUAUCAUUCUAUGUGGAUUAAAUUUGAUGAUGAACAUUCAUUAUGUGAAGG
This is a long non-coding RNA of Ostrea edulis (European flat oyster), 1924 nucleotides long. RefSeq lists it as uncharacterized. The record is from RefSeq and is a predicted model, not a curated record. NCBI's taxonomy places the organism in Eukaryota, Metazoa, Mollusca, Bivalvia, Ostreida, Ostreidae. The transcript is spliced from 3 exons.